UCGGCGACCGGCGCACGGGUGCGUAACGCGUAUGCAACCUACCCAUUACAGGGGGAUAACACUGAGAAAUCGGUACUAAUACCCCAUAACAUCCAGGGAGGCAUCUUCUUGGGUUGAAAACUCCGGUGGUACAGGAUGGACCCGCGUCUGAUUAGCUGGUUGGCGGGGUAACGGCCCACCAAGGCGACGAUCAGUAGCCGGCCUGAGAGGGUGAACGGCCACAUUGGGACUGAGAUACGGCCCAGACUCCUACGGGAGGCAGCAG
RNAcentral lists this ribosomal RNA (265 nucleotides) under uncultured bacterium. RNAcentral's name for it is "partial 16S ribosomal RNA". It matches the Rfam family "Bacterial small subunit ribosomal RNA", at positions 88 to 354 of the family's 1533-position model. The record is from RNAcentral.